GAUGAACGCUGGCGGCGUGCCUAAUACAUGCAAGUCGAGCGAACAGACGAGGAGCUUGCUCCUUCGACGUUAGCGGCGGACGGGUGAGUAACACGUAGGUAACCUACCUAUAAGACUGGGAUAACUUCGGGAAACCGGAGCUAAUACCGGAUAAUAUUUCGAACCGCAUGGUUCGAUAGUGAAAGAUGGCUUUGCUAUCACUUAUAGAUGGACCUGCGCCGUAUUAGCUAGUUGGUAAGGUACCGGCUUAGCAAGGCAACGAUACGUAGCCGACCUGAGAGGGUGAUCGGCCACACGGGAACGGAGACACGGUCCAGACUCCUACGGGAGGCAGCAGUAGGGAAUCUUCCGCAAUGGGCGAAAGCCUGACGGAGCAACGCCGCGUGAGUGAUGAAGGUCUUCGGAUCGUAAAACUCUGUUAUUAGGGAAGAACAAACGUGUAAGUAACUGUGCACGUCUUGACGGUACCUAAUCAGAAAGCCACGGCUAACUACGUG
This 497-nucleotide ribosomal RNA is filed under the name uncultured bacterium. RNAcentral's name for it is "partial 16S ribosomal RNA". It matches the Rfam family "Bacterial small subunit ribosomal RNA", at positions 28 to 507 of the family's 1533-position model. The record is from RNAcentral.